RNAcentral lists this transfer RNA (64 nucleotides) under Coleoptera sp. ACP-2013. Its description in RNAcentral is "tRNA-Trp". Lineage: Eukaryota; Metazoa; Arthropoda; Insecta; Coleoptera. The record is from RNAcentral.
AGGAUUUAAGUUAAGUAAACUAUUAACUUUCAAAGUUAAAAUUAGAUAAUAAUCUAAGCCUUAA